This 266-nucleotide long non-coding RNA is filed under the name Vigna radiata. RNAcentral's name for it is "long non-coding RNA (VRAD_LNC003157)". Lineage: Eukaryota; Viridiplantae; Streptophyta; Magnoliopsida; Fabales; Fabaceae. The record is from RNAcentral.
GUAAACAACUUAAGCGCUGCUACCAAAGUUUCUUUUUUCAUGAAAAUUUAUUGCAUGUAAAUGACAUUAACCUAACAAUUAGUAUGCCCAAAAUCUGAACAUCAAUUUUCAAAAGUGAAACAUAACUACUUAAUUAAACAUUUCUAUCAAUUAUUACAGUACAAAGUCAUCUCAGUAAAUAGGAUUCAAGAAUCUUUUCCGCCAAAACUUGAUAGUGUUUCAAAAUAUCCUCUAUAUCAGACAUUGGUCAUUAAUUUCCUCGGCAC